GACGAACGCUGGCGGCGUGCUUAACACAUGCAAGUCGAACGGUGAAGCGCCUUCCUUUUUGGUGGGUGUGGAUGAGUGGCGAACGGGUGAGUAACACGUGAGUAACCUGCCCCCUUCUUCUGGAUAACCGCAUGAAAGUGUGGCUAAUACGGGAUAUUCUGGGUCUGUCGCAUGAUGGGUCUGGGAAAGAUAUUGUUUCGGUGGGGGAUGGGCUCGCGGCCUAUCAGCUUGUUGGUGGGGUGAUGGCCUACCAAGGCGGUGACGGGUAGCCGGCCUGAGAGGGUGGACGGUCACACUGGGACUGAGGCACGGCGCAGACUCCUACGGGAGGCAGCAGUGGGGAAUAUUGCACAAUGGGCGCAAGCCUGAUGCAGCGACGCCGCGUGAGGGAUGGAGGCCUUCGGGUUGUGAACCUCUUUCGCCAGUGAAGCAGGACUGCCUCGUUUGUGGGUGGGUUGACGGUAGCUGGAUAAGAAGCGCCGGCUAACUACGUG
This 494-nucleotide ribosomal RNA is filed under the name uncultured bacterium. Its description in RNAcentral is "partial 16S ribosomal RNA". It matches the Rfam family "Bacterial small subunit ribosomal RNA", at positions 28 to 507 of the family's 1533-position model. The record is from RNAcentral.